GACGAACGCUGGCGGCGUGCUUAACACAUGCAAGUCGAGCGGUAAGGCCCUUUCGGGGGUACACGAGCGGCGAACGGGUGAGUAACACGUGGGUGACCUGCCCUUAGCUCUGGGAUAAGCCUGGGAAACUGGGUCUAAUACCGGAUAUGACUCCAUGACGCAUGUUGUGGGGUGGAAAGCCUUGUGCGGCUAGGGAUGGGGCCCGCGGCCUAUCAGCUUGUUGGUGGGGUGAUGGCCUACCAAGGCGACGACGGGUAGCCGGCCUGAGAGGGCGACCGGCCACACUGGGACUGAGACACGGCCCAGACUCCUACGGGAGGCAGCAGUGGGGAAUCUUGCGCAAUGGGCGAAAGCCUGACGCAGCGACGCCGCGUGGGGAUGACGGCC
Molecule: ribosomal RNA, 387 nt
Filed under: uncultured bacterium
Lineage: Bacteria
Description: bacterial SSU rRNA
Rfam family: Bacterial small subunit ribosomal RNA
Source: RNAcentral